AGCUAGUUGACGAGUCCCAAAUAGGAUGAAAUGUGAAUCCUGGCU
RNAcentral lists this non-coding RNA (45 nucleotides) under Trichobilharzia regenti. The record is from RNAcentral. Lineage: Eukaryota; Metazoa; Platyhelminthes; Trematoda; Strigeidida; Schistosomatidae.